RNAcentral lists this ribosomal RNA (379 nucleotides) under Haemaphysalis flava. RNAcentral describes it as "partial 16S ribosomal RNA". Lineage: Eukaryota; Metazoa; Arthropoda; Arachnida; Ixodida; Ixodidae. The record is from RNAcentral.
AAGACUUUAAUUGAAGUGCUAAAAGAAUGGAGUUUCAAAAAAAGUCUAUCUUGAAUUCAAAAAUUGAAUUUAUUUUUAUUUGUGAAGAAACAAUAAUUAAAAUUAAGGACAAGAAGACCCUAAGAAUUUUUAAUUUUGUAUAUAUAAAUAUAUAUAUAUACAAAAUUUUAAUUGGGGCGAUUAAAAAAUAUAGUUAACUUUUAAUUUUAAAAAAUGAUCCAUUAUUAGUGAUUUAAUGUAAAAAAUACUCUAGGGAUAACAGCGUAAUAAUUUUAGAUAGAUCUUAUAGAAAAAAUAGUUUGCGACCUCGAUGUUGGAUUAUGAUUCUUUUUUAAUGAAGAAGUUAAAAUAAGAAGUUUGUUCAACUUUUAAAAUCCUA